GUGCCAGCAGCCGCGGUAAUACGGAGGGUGCAAACGUUGCUCGGAAUCACUGGGCGUAAAGCGCACGUAGGCGGCCUUGUAAGUUGGAUGUGAAAGCCCUGGGCUCAACCCAGGAAGUGCAUCCAAAACUGCAUGGCUUGAGUACCGGAGGGGUUCAGAGAAUUCCCGGUGUAGAGGUGAAAUUCGUAGAUAUCGGGAGGAAUACCAGUGGCGAAGGCGCUGAACUGGACGGUAACUGACGCUGAGGUGCGAAAGCGUGGGUAGCAAACAGGAUUAGAAACCCCGGUAGUCC
RNAcentral lists this ribosomal RNA (292 nucleotides) under uncultured bacterium. Its description in RNAcentral is "partial 16S ribosomal RNA". It matches the Rfam family "Bacterial small subunit ribosomal RNA", at positions 505 to 796 of the family's 1533-position model. The record is from RNAcentral.